UAUCUCUGUAGAGUCUGCAUAUCAAUAAGCGGAGGAAAAGAAACUAACAAGGAUUCCCUUAGUAACGGCGAGUGAAGCGGGAAGAGCUCAAAUUUGAAAUCUUCAAGGUUUUACCUUGACGAAUUGUAGUUUAAAGAAGUGUUUUCUGUUGGUAGUUUUGGUAAAAGUUCUUUGGAAUAGGACAUCAUAGGAGGGUGAGAAUCCCGUAUUUGACCAUUACUUCCAGCGUUGUGAUACACUUUCAAAGAGUCGGAUUGUUUGGGAAUGCAGUCCAAAAUGGGUGGUAAAUUUCAUCUAAAGCUAAAUAUUGGCGAGAGACCGAUAGCGAACAAGUACCGUGAGGGAAAGAUGAAAAGAACUUUGAAAGAGAGUUAAACAGUACGUGAAAUUGUCAAAAGGGAAGCGUUUGACACCAGUGUUGUUUUCUCGAAAAUCAAUUAAAAAAAGUUGGAUUUUGUAUUGUUAAGACCUUAUCAGCUUACUGUACUCUUUUCUUGCUUUUUUAAUGCACUUUUCGUUUAACAAGUCAACAUCAAUUUCUUUUGUUGUAAAAGAGGUCAUUGGAAGGUGGCUUUCCUUUCGGAUGAAAGUGUUUAUAGCCUUUGGCUUCUGCAAUCGGAGAGAUUGAGGUCUGCAGCGUAGAUCCUUCGGGGCUAGAUACACUUAGAUGCUAAGUUAUAGUUUUUUAUAGACAACUUGUUGACUAUAAUUAAUCAUGUAGCCUACUCGUUUGCGCUAUUUUACCUACGCUUAGGAUGUUGAUAGUCACAGCGUGUAC
This 778-nucleotide ribosomal RNA is filed under the name uncultured Neocallimastigales. RNAcentral describes it as "partial large subunit ribosomal RNA". It matches the Rfam family "Eukaryotic large subunit ribosomal RNA", at positions 24 to 634 of the family's 3401-position model. The record is from RNAcentral. Lineage: Eukaryota; Fungi; Neocallimastigomycota; Neocallimastigomycetes; Neocallimastigales.